UACGAAGGGGGCUAGCGUUGCUCGGAUUGACUGGGCGUAAAGGGCGCGUAGGCGGCGGACACAGUCAGACGUGAAAUUCCCGGGCUCAACCUGGGGGCUGCGUUUGAUACAUGUCUGCUUGAGUUCGGAAGAGGGUCGUGGAAUUCCCAGUGUAGAGGUGAAAUUCGUAGAUAUUGGGAAGAACACCGGUGGCGAAGGCGGCGACCUGGUCCGAUACUGACGCUGAGGCGCGAAAGCGUGGGGAGCAAACAGG
Molecule: ribosomal RNA, 253 nt
Filed under: uncultured bacterium
Lineage: Bacteria
Description: partial 16S ribosomal RNA
Rfam family: Bacterial small subunit ribosomal RNA
Source: RNAcentral